GCUGGGGAUCGAACCCGGGCCGCACGCAUGCCAGGUGAAUGGGCUACCGCUUGAGCCACAUCCCCAGCCCCAAACUUGCAAUAUUCUUGCCUCAGCCUUCUGAGUAGCUGAAGAUAGUGGCAGGUACCACUGUACUUGGUUCAGAAAGUCAUUUCUUUGAUGUGCUAUACAUUUAUAUAUCAGAAUACUGUUACAUGCAUGUUGCUGGAUCUAUUUUCAAAGAAACACUUAGGAACCCAAAAAGCAAAUCAAUUAAUUUUUUGUUUUGUUUUGUUUUUUCAGUACUGGGAAUUGAGCCCAGAGCCUCAAGCAUGGCUGUUUUACUUUGUGAGACAGGAUCUCACUAAGUUGCCCAGGCUGGUCUCAAACUUGCAAUCCUCCUCCCUCAGCCUUCGGAGUUGGUGGGAUUACACCAAGUGCAACAUGACUGAAUUCUGACCAUGGAACAUGGACAGAACAGAUAGUCACCAGUUUUAGGUCUUGCCCCUCAAAUCCUCUUCUGUGUUCCUCCACCCUCCUUUCAUGCCUCACUUUCUAUUUUAUUUUAUUGUGGUGCUGGGGAUUGAACCCAGCAUGCAAGGCAAGCACUCUACUAACUGAGCUAUAUCCUCAGCCCAAACAUUCCUCACUUUCCAUAUGGGUUUGGUGGCUCUCAUCGUGGUCCCUGAGGUUAUAGAAAGUGGUGGCCUACUCAGUGGGGGAAAUAUGGGUUCUUGCAUUGCUGUGGGGAAGGUUCACGUUGGACUGCACAUUCCAUUAUGACACAAAUAGGACAUAAGUUUUCACUGUGCUGAGCAACUGAGAUGUUGAGGUCAUAUUUAGAGCUGCUUCGUCAGGUUAGGCUACACUGGGUUGCAAUAACAACCUACCCUCUAAAAUCUCAGCAGCUGAAAAAAACAGUGAAGAUUCAUUGCCUCUCCCAUCCGUGUCUUUCACAGUCACUCAGAGACCCAACCUGAGUGAGGAUUUCUUUUGACAUAUGCUUCAAAACAUGAAGAUGAGGGGGAAAAGGCGUGGUGAAAAACACGAGACAUUAAAUGCUUUGUCACAGAAGUGACAUGUCACUUCUGUCCAUAACGGGUUGACCACACCAUGGCCCAACUGAACCUGAAGUUCUAACACCCCUGUGCCUGGAUGGAGAGAGGUGACAGUGAAAAGCUCUAGCAACCAUCCUGACACAAGGUUCUUCAAGCAGGUGCUGGUGUACACACACACACACACACACACUUUUUAAAAAAAUUUUUGUGUGUGUGGUGCUGGGGAUCAAACCCAGGGCCUCAUGCAUGCUAGGGAAACACUCUACCACUGAACUACCUGCCCACAGCCCACUCACCUUUCCUUGAUUCUGUGAGCAGAAAUUUCUAUUGUUUCUUAAAGGCAGAGUUGGUUUCUGUUGCUUGUAAUCAGAGAAGUUUACUGACAUAUCAUGACAAUUGUUGCUGGCAAAAUUGUUCUAAGGGGCAGCUCUGAUUGUGUGACUCCUGGCUGAGAUGCUUUCAACACUCUUCCUUUGUCUAUAGCAGGGGAUGGCAGCCUUUUUCUGUAAAGAGCCAGAUUGCACCAUGCCGUCUCUUUGGCAGUUACUCUACUCUGCAACUGUAGCUCAGGCAGACACAGAUGAGAGGUAGACAAAUGGAUUUGAUCGUGUUCCAAUAAAACUUUAUUUACAAAACAGACCUUUGGCAGUAGCUUGCCAACCCCUGGUCUCCAGAAUAAAGUGAGAGCUUAGCACGGCGUGGAGGACCCUCCUCUGUCUCUGGCCCUGGUUUUGCCAACUGGGCAUCUCCCUCUACUUCCCUCCCUUGCACUCACUCUGCUCCUGUCCUGUGGCAGCUGCAUAUCCUGCUUGCAAAUCCCUUCCCAUCCUGUCUUAUUGUUUGCUGAAAUCCAAUUAUCUUUAAGUCUUAGCUUAAUUGUCACCUGUAGUGCACAUUGUGUUUUUUGGGCUUUCUAGCUGUUAACUGCCUCUUGGGGGAGAUCACUUCUCCCUCGCUCAGACCACUGGGUAUUGGGGAUUGACCUCAGGGGUGCUCUACCAUUGAGCUACAUCCCCCCGGUCCUUUUUAUUUUUUUAAUUUUGAGAUGGGGUUUCACUAAGCUGCUGAGUCUUGGCUCACACCUGUGAUCCUCCUGCCCCCAGCCUCCCAAGUCACCAGUAUUUAGGGUCCCCUGGUAGGCAGGUACCAAUAACCGUCAUUCGUUAUCACUCAGGGCUUGGACAGGUCCACAGUUUGGGAGUGACUUGGUUGAGCAGUUCUGUUCCAGGGUGUCUCAGUGCUGCAGUUCGGACAUCUCGUGGGGCUGCAGUUAUCCGAAGGCUCAGCUGGUGCCGGACAAUCCCCUUCCAAGAUGGCCCACUUGCAUGGCUAUUGGUGGGAAGUGUCAGUUCCCCACCUUGCUGGGGCCUCUUUCAGGAGAUGACGCUGGCUUUCCCAGAUUAAGUGAUUCAGGAGAAAAAGGUAGAAGCAACAGCGCCUUUUAUGAUCCAGCUUCAGAAUCCCACAUCUGUUCGACACCAGCAAGUCCGGAGUCCAGCCUGCCUCCCAUUGCAGGGGAGCAGCACCGGGCUCCACUUUCUGAAGGGAAGAGGAUCAAAGAAGUUGUGGAUGUAUUUGGAAACCACCACAAUGAUAGAGAUGAAGAGACAAACAGGCUAUCGUGAGAAAAGCCAGAGAUGAACAAGCACAGAAACACACUACCCUGCUUAGGACCUGAGGAGCCAAGGAAGGAAGUGGGGUCCCCAGAGCCCAGGAGCCAGGACCAUGCAAUGGCAGCCAGAAGGGGCUGCUGAUGGGAGCUGGAACCAUGAAGAAGCAGUGCCCAGUGAAGGUGCCCCCAAGGCACACAGGAGGAGACAGAGGCUUUGGCUUAUGCUUAUUUCUUCCUUUUUCCCUCUUCUCUUUGGCCAGAGUCUGCAUAGAGCCGGGAAGCAGAAUGCAUGGCAGCUUGGGAAACAGAGUUCUCUGUGAUGCAGGGGUGAGCUGAGAGGGCUGGGAAGGACCUGAGAGCAAAUGGACUAGCUCUGGGUUCCUUGCAGCUCCCGGAGGUGGCUGGGUUGAUCUGGUGAUGACAACAUAGUUAAAUCUGUCUUGAGGGGCUGGGUGGUGGCUCAGUGGUGGAGCGCUUGCUUCAUGUGUGUGAGGCACCAGGUUCUAGUCUCAGCACCACAUAUAAAUCAAUGAAUAAAAUAAGGUUCAUCAAUAAUUAAAAAAAAUUCUUUCUUGAAUUUAGAUUAAUUUUUCUCUUUCAACCUUUUUAUUGGUGCAUUGUAGUGCACGUGACGGUGGGAUUUGUUGUUACACAUUUAUACAUACACAAUAUGAUGAUAUAAUUUGGCCAAUAUCAUUCCCCAGCACUCCCCCCUCCCCCCAUCUCUUUUUCUACUGAUCCCCCUUUGAUUUUCAUUAGCUUCUCCCCACCCCCCUUUUCCUUUUUCCUCUCUAGCUUCCACAUAUGAGAGAAAACAUGACCCUUGACCUUCUGAGUUUGACUUAUUCUGCUUAAUAUAAUGGUCUCUAGUUCCACUCAUUAUACUGCAAAUAAUAAUUUCAUUUUUCUUUAUGGUAGAGUAAAACUCAAUUGUGUGUGUACACCACAUUCUGCUGAGGGACACCUAGGCUGGUUCCAUUGCUUGGCUAUUGUGAAUUGUGCUGCUAUAAACAUGGGUGUGCGUGUGUCACUGUAGUGAGAUGACUUUAAUUUUUCAGGAUAAAUACCAAGGAGUGGUAUACCUGGGUCAAAUGGUGGUCCAUGCCUAGUCUUUUGAGAAACUUUGAUUUUAAUUUCCAUAGGAUUGUACUAAUUUACAACCCCACCAACAGUGUAAAAGUGUUCCUUUUUCUCCACAUCCUCUCCAGCAUUUAUUAUUAUUAUUAUUAAAAAUAUUUUUAGUUGUAGAUGGACAUAAUAAUUUCAUUUAAAAAUAUUUUUAGUUAUACAUGGAGUCAGUAUCUUUAUUUUGUUUAUUUACUUUUUUUUUAAUGUGGUCUGAGGAUUGAACUCAGUGCCUCACAUGUGGGAGGUAAGUGCUCUACUGCUGAGCCACAGUCCCUAUAACUUUACUUUUUAUGUGGUGCUUUGGAUCGACGGUGCCUCACAUGUGUUAGGCAAGCCUUCUACCACUAAGCCACAACCCCAGCCCUUCUCCAGCAUAUAUUAUUAUUUAUGUUAUUGAUGAAUGCCAUUUUGACUGAAGUGAGAUGAACUCUCAGUGUAGUUUUGAUUUGCAUUUCUCUACUUGCUAAUGAGCUAGUGAUGUUGAACAUUUUUUCAUAUAUUUGUUGGCCUUUUAUAUUUAUCCUCUUGAGUAUUGGCUUAAUUCAUUCAAUCAUUUACUAGUUGGGUUAUUUUUGUGUGUGUGUGUGUGUGUGUGUAAGUUUUUUGAGUUCUUUAUAUAUUCUAGUUAUUAAUCCUCUGUCAGAAGAGUAGCUAGCAAAGAUUUUCUCCAAUUUUGUAGGUUCUCUACAUUCCUAAUUGUUUCCUUUGCUAUGCAGAAGCUUUUUAUUAACUCUUGGCAUUAUUUUAUUAAGUCUUUAUUUUAUUAUUAUUUUAUUAACUCUUGGAAUUAUUUCUUGAGUUUUAGGGGGUCUAUGGAGGAAGUCUUUGCUUGUACCUAUUGGAAUGUUGACCCUACCUUUUCUUCUAGGAGUUGCAUGGUUUCUGGCCCAGUUCCUAGAAGCUUUUUCCAUUUUGAGUUGACUUUUGUGCAGAGUGAGAGACAAGGGUCUAAUCUCAUCAUUCCCAGCACCGUUUGUUAAAAAGGCUGUCUUUUCUCCAAUGCAAUGUUUUUGGAAGUGUUGUCAAGGGUCAGAUGACUGUAUGUGUGUGGGUGUGUCUCCGUGUCUUCUAUUCUGUACCAUUGGUCUGUGUGUCUGUUUUUAUGCCAGUACCAUGCAGUUCUUGUUACCAUGGCUCUGCAGUAUAAUUUGAGAUCAGAGAUUGUGAUACCUUUGCAUUGCUUGUUUGGCUUAGGAUUGCUUUGGCUAUUCUGGGUCUUUUAUUCUUCCAAAUGAAUUUUAGGACUUUUUUUCCUAGUCCUGUGAAGAAUGUCAUUGGUAUUAUUCUCAAUGAAGUAUCAUCUUAAAACUGAAAAUUUAAAGAAAAGGAGUAAAAGGAAAUUCUUCAGAGUGCUUUAAUCUUCCCUAGUAUUUUGACUUCUCUGGGGCCUAAAGGGAAAGGGAACAUUAAUAUCCAGGCAGCAGGAAGCUGACCCGGCUUUGUGUCAAAAAUGGCCUUUUGAAAUUCUCUUCAAAACUUGCCAGCCUUUGAGGACUGACCGAUGCUGUGGACACAAACUCCUCAUCAGUUUCUGGCCCUGUUUCCUUGUCCCUGCAUGUACCUUCUGAUUCCAGGUAGAAAUAUUCUAUUUCGUCCACUCCAGGUAUGUAGGCAGGAGGACUGAAGAUCCAUGUCCUUACAGACAUGUGUGCAGGGACAUCUAUGGCAUGGGGGAAACAACCCAAAUGACCACCAACAGGGGGACGGAAAUGCAAGGUGGCAUCCACACAUCCAGAUACUCUUUCUCCAUCAAUAGGGACGGAUCCCUGACACAUGCUAUGACGUGGAUGAGCCUUGAAAACAGGAUGCUGAGUACCAGAAGUACCCAAGGCCAUGUGGUGUCACAUGCCAUUCCAAAUCCAGAAAGGUGGCAGGCAGACUGUGGGCUAGGCUCAGGGGAAUGGGGAGUAAAUGCUGAUGACUCGAGAAUUUUUAUUUUUAGGGUCUGUGAAAUAUUUUGGUGAUAUUUGAACAACUCUGUGAAUAUGCUGAAACCCGCUGAGUUAAUGCACUUUAAAAGGGUGAAUUUUGUGCCACGUAAAUUGAAUCUCAGUUUUGCAGGAGGGAAGAGAGGAAGGGAGGGAGGGAGGGAGGUGGGCACAUUUUGGAUUGCAGUGUCCCCUGGUUAGUUUGGAGUCACACCCCAGUGGACAGGUUUCUCAUCAUUCAAGUAUUUAUUGAGUACCUCGUAAGGCACAAUUGUUGGUUGUGCUGGUUUUCCUGUGCACAAUGGCUCAAGACCUCUUGUCAACCAAUCUGUGCUGAUAAGUGUAAAAGUGCACAUUGACUACGCUGGAAUGACAGCUCCUGCCCUUGGAGUGCCAGCUACUCAGCAGGCUGAGGGAGGAGUUCAAGACCAGCUUGAGCAACGUCGGCAGAGUUGGUCUAAAAUCAAACAAAACAAAACAAAACAAAAACACAUUGACUGUCACUGUGGUUGACCUGACAAGCCCCUGAGAGUCUGUUGUUCUUUGGAUUAACUUGACUUCAGAUCCUGAAACAGUAAUGUCAAAAGACACCUGGUGACUAAUUACGGCUUCAACAACACAAAAAUUAAAUGAAAAUUAUGUGGCUUCAACAACACAAAAAUUAAAUGAAAAUUAUGAGAAGAAAC
This 6391-nucleotide long non-coding RNA is filed under the name Marmota monax (woodchuck). Lineage: Eukaryota; Metazoa; Chordata; Mammalia; Rodentia; Sciuridae. The record is from RNAcentral.